RNAcentral lists this small RNA (2887 nucleotides) under Pan troglodytes (chimpanzee). RNAcentral describes it as "retained intron". Lineage: Eukaryota; Metazoa; Chordata; Mammalia; Primates; Hominidae. The record is from RNAcentral.
AUAGAUAGCGUUUUUGGCAUUCAGCUUUCUAGGAAUCUGACCAAAGAAAACACAAAAUAUGAAGAAGCUACAUCUUAAUUUUUAUUUAUGGUUCUGAAAACUUGGAAAGUAUAUAUAUAACAGGAAGAGUAUGGGUCAGUGAGAUGCACCUUGUUCCCUAAAUAGAAUAUGAUAAAUGCAUUUUAAAUGGUUAUAAAGACUGGCAAUAUGGAAAAGUUGAAUGAGGAGAGAAGGAGCAUUUGUUUAAAUUAUAGUAUAACUAGAACUAAUCAAAAUUGCUCAGGAAGAAAGUCUAAAAGAAUAUAUGUCAAAUGCUAAAUGUCUAUUGGAUGUUUUUAAUAAUUUCUAUAAUGUGAUUAUUACUUUAUAACAAAACUAGCCUUUAAAACUCUGUCUUCCUUUUUCCUCCCCUAGUCAAGCCUUCGCAUUUCUCCACCUCUGCCCUUCCUGUCUCUGUCAGGGGGUGGUCCCAGAGACCCUUUAAAGAUGGGGGUAGGGUCUCGGAUGGACCAAGAGCAAGCUGCUCUUGCUGCAGUCACUCCCUCCCCAACCAGUGCUUCAAAGAGAUGGCCAGGAGCUUCUGUGUGGCCAUCCUGGGACCUCCUCGAAACUCCCAAAGACCCCUUCAGCAUAGAGAGAGAGGCCAGGCUGCACCGACAAGCUGCAGCUGUGAAUGAAGCCACCUGUACCUGGAGUGGCCAGCUUCCUCCCCGGAACUAUAAGAACCCCAUCUACUCUUGCAAGGUGUUUCUAGGAGGUGUUCCUUGGGAUAUUACAGAAGCUGGAUUAGUUAACACCUUCCGUGUUUUUGGCUCUUUGAGUGUGGAGUGGCCUGGUAAGGAUGGCAAGCAUCCCCGGUGUCCUCCCAAAGGGUAUGUGUAUCUGGUCUUCGAACUAGAGAAGUCUGUCCGAUCCUUGCUUCAGGCUUGCUCUCAUGACCCGCUGAGCCCAGAUGGCCUGAGUGAAUAUUAUUUCAAGAUGUCCAGCCGAAGGAUGCGCUGCAAGGAGGUGCAGGUGAUCCCCUGGGUAUUAGCCGACAGUAACUUUGUCCGGAGCCCAUCUCAGAGGCUUGACCCCAGCAGGACGGUGUUUGUCGGUGCUCUGCAUGGAAUGCUAAAUGCUGAGGCCCUGGCAGCCAUCUUGAACGACCUAUUUGGUGGAGUGGUGUAUGCCGGGAUUGACACAGAUAAGCACAAGUAUCCCAUUGGUUCUGGUCGUGUGACUUUCAAUAACCAACGGAGUUACCUGAAAGCAGUCAGCGCUGCUUUUGUGGAGAUCAAAACCACCAAGUUCACAAAGAAGGUUCAGAUUGACCCCUACCUAGAAGAUUCUCUGUGUCAUAUCUGCAGUUCUCAGCCUGGUCCUUUCUUCUGUCGAGAUCAGGUCUGCUUCAAAUACUUCUGCCGGAGCUGCUGGCACUGGCGGCACAGCAUGGAGGGCCUGCGCCACCACAGCCCCCUGAUGCGGAACCAGAAGAACCGAGAUUCCAGCUAGAGGAGCUGGCCUUGCCCAGUGGCCUGUGGCGCCCAAAGCUGGCAGGUCAGGCAAACAGCCUGCACCACCCUGCCACUGGCGACCAGGGAGCUGGCUUCCCAAGGACAAGGGAAAAUUGUAGUCACCUUUGCACUUGCUGAAUCUGUCUUUGUUUCUGCACUAAUUAAUGCACAUUGAGUUUUGUCAGGUUUUGUUUUCAGGGGGUAUACCAAGGGCAAGGACCCUCUGGCUUACCCUCCAAGCGACUCUGUAGUUUUCCCAGAUUUUAGUUCCUCAUUUUGCAGAUGAAAAGCGGGAAAAAAAAAAAAAAAGAAAAAAAGAACUACGUGUCCAGAAGGUAUUGAGGUAUUGACACGGAUGCCUACACCUAGGUUUAUUUAUUAAAAGCGCUUUUUUACAUUCCUUGCAAUACUGAUGGUGAUGAUGCGCAGGUCUCAUUGGUUUCAUUCUUGCAGUUGCCAUACAGUGCCUUUCCAUUUAUUUAACCCCCACCUGAACGGCAUAAACUGAGUGUUCAGCUGGUGUUUUUUACUGUAAACAAUAAGGAGACUUUGCUCUUCAUUUAAACCAAAAUCAUAUUUCAUAUUUUACGCUCGAGGGUUUUUACCGGUUCCUUUUUACACUCCUUAAAACAGUUUUUAAGUCGUUUGGAACAAGAUAUUUUUUCUUUCCUGGCAGCUUUUAACAUUAUAGCAAAUUUGUGUCUGGGGGACUGCUGGUCACUGUUUCUCACAGUUGCAAAUCAAGGCAUUUGCAACCAAGAAAAAAAAAUAUUUUUGUUUUAUUUGAAACUGGACCGGAUAAACGGUGUUUGAGCGGCUGCUGUAUAUAGUUUUAAAUGGUUUAUUGCACCUCCUUAAGUUGCACUUAUGUGGGGGGGGUGGGGUUGAUAGAAGUUUUUAAUCACAAAGUCACAGGACUUUUUUCUUUUGUAACUGAGCUAAAAAGGGCUGCUUUUCGGUGGGGGCAGAUGAAGGCUCACAGGAGCCCUUUCUCUUAGAGGGGGCAAGUACCCUUCCCUUGUAUCUUUAAUUUGAGGAAUGUAUGAGAUAACAGUUGCAGUUGACUGAAAUGCCACUGGAAUUUGAAAACUUGACUUUUUUUUCUUUCCCUUUUUUUUUUUUUUUAAAAAAAGAAAAAAGAAAAAACCCACAAAAACUACUUGCCCCUCCUAGGGAAGCUGUGUGCCAAAGAACCAGUGUCAUAACCCCUCCCUCCUGCUGAGCUGACGUUGCAUUGUUGCAUAUCCCAGCUACUCUGUGGGUUUUGUGAAGCUGUGUGUGAAGUCUCUACCUCAUUGUAGUAUAUGCAGGCAAGACUGCACUCUCCUACAGAUGUGUGGAGUAAGCUGUGGUGUAGUUUUUUUGGCACAUAAUAAACACGUUGCAGCAGA